This 333-nucleotide ribosomal RNA is filed under the name Triticum aestivum (bread wheat). Its description in RNAcentral is "partial small subunit ribosomal RNA". The record is from RNAcentral. Lineage: Eukaryota; Viridiplantae; Streptophyta; Magnoliopsida; Poales; Poaceae.
AUGGACGCGGUGGAGUCAUCGUCGCCCUACUCCCCGCCCUCGCUGCGCCACAAGCUGCGCACCACCGUCUCCAGCUGCUUCGGCUCAUCAUCGUCGCCGGUAAGCGGCGGGGUGAGGCCGCACACCGGCGGCGGCAGGGCCAGGUGGAGGCGGCGCGUGGCGGUCGCGGGGGAGUUCAGGUACGACCCUCUCAGCUACGCGCUCAACUUCGACGACGGCGGCAGCGACGACGGUGACGCCGACGGGGAGGUCGCCGCCUUCCGGCACAGAAACUUCAGCUCGCGCCUGCCGCCCUCGCCGGUGCCGGCCUCCCGAGCCGUGGCAAUCGCCUGA